This 497-nucleotide ribosomal RNA is filed under the name Salmonella enterica subsp. enterica serovar Saintpaul. RNAcentral's name for it is "partial 23S ribosomal RNA". It matches the Rfam family "Bacterial large subunit ribosomal RNA", at positions 92 to 627 of the family's 2925-position model. The record is from RNAcentral. Lineage: Bacteria; Pseudomonadati; Pseudomonadota; Gammaproteobacteria; Enterobacterales; Enterobacteriaceae.
GAACCGUUAUAACCGGCGAUUUCCGAAUGGGGAAACCCAGUGUGACUCGUCACACUAUCAUUAACUGAAUCCAUAGGUUAAUGAGGCGAACCGGGGGAACUGAAACAUCUAAGUACCCCGAGGAAAAGAAAUCAACCGAGAUUCCCCCAGUAGCGGCGAGCGAACGGGGAGGAGCCCAGAGCCUGAAUCAGCAUGUGUGUUAGUGGAAGCGUCUGGAAAGGCGCGCGAUACAGGGUGACAGCCCCGUACACAAAAGCGCAUGUGCUGUGAGCUCGAUGAGUAGGGCGGGACACGUGGUAUCCUGUCUGAAUAUGGGGGGACCAUCCUCCAAGGCUAAAUACUCCUGACUGACCGAUAGUGAACCAGUACCGUGAGGGAAAGGCGAAAAGAACCCCGGCGAGGGGAGUGAAAAAGAACCUGAAACCGUGUACGUACAAGCAGUGGGAGCACAGGUUUACCUGUGUGACUGCGUACCUUUUGUAUAAUGGGUCAGCGAC